UUUGAAAGCUGGCCUUCGGGUCCGCAUUGUAAUUUGUAGAGGAUGCUUUGGGUGAAACGCCAGUCUAAGUUCCUUGGAACAGGACGUCAUAGAGGGUGAGAAUCCCGUAUGUGACUGGAAAUGUUAACCUAUGUAAAGCUCCUUCGACGAGUCGAGUUGUUUGGGAAUGCAGCUCUAAAUGGGAGGUAAAUUUCUUCUAAAGCUAAAUAUUGGCGAGAGACCGAUAGCGCACAAGUAGAGUGAUCGAAAGAUGAAAAGCACUUUGGAAAGAGAGUUAAAAAGCACGUGAAAUUGUUGAAAGGGAAGCGCUUGCAAUCAGACUUGUUUAAACUGUUCGGCCGGUCUUCUGACCGGUUUACUCAGUUUGGACAGGCCAGCAUCAGUUUCGGCGGCCGGAUAAAGGCUCUGGGAAUGUGGCCUUCACUUCGGUGAAGGUGUUAUAGCCCAGGGUGUAAUACGGCCAGCCGGGACUGAGGUCCGCGCUUCGGCUAGGAUGCUGGCGUAAUGGUUGUAAGCGACC
Molecule: ribosomal RNA, 520 nt
Filed under: Aureobasidium melanogenum
Lineage: Eukaryota; Fungi; Ascomycota; Dothideomycetes; Dothideales; Saccotheciaceae
Description: LSU rRNA
Rfam family: Eukaryotic large subunit ribosomal RNA
Source: RNAcentral